AAGAGACUUUUAAUUGUAAAAGAGUUUGGA
This 30-nucleotide non-coding RNA is filed under the name Mus musculus (house mouse). The record is from RNAcentral. Lineage: Eukaryota; Metazoa; Chordata; Mammalia; Rodentia; Muridae.